GUCGCAAGACCAAAGUGGGGGACCUUCGGGCCUCAUGCCAUCAGAUGUGCCCAGAUGGGAUUAGCUAGUAGGUGGGGUAACGGCUCACCUAGGCGACGAUCCCUAGCUGGUCUGAGAGGAUGACCAGCCACACUGGAACUGAGACACGGUCCAGACUCCUACGGGAGGCAGCAGUGGGGAAUAUUGCACAAUGGGCGCAAGCCUGAUG
This 208-nucleotide ribosomal RNA is filed under the name Klebsiella pneumoniae. RNAcentral's name for it is "partial 16S ribosomal RNA". It matches the Rfam family "Bacterial small subunit ribosomal RNA", at positions 192 to 388 of the family's 1533-position model. Lineage: Bacteria; Pseudomonadati; Pseudomonadota; Gammaproteobacteria; Enterobacterales; Enterobacteriaceae. RNAcentral also lists the same sequence under 2 other names. The record is from RNAcentral.